AUGCAGCGCCUCCUCCCGGCCACCCUCCUCCGCCGCCGCCUCUCCACCGACGCCGCCCCGGACCACAGCCUCGCCUCCUCCGCGGAGCUCGCGCACCGCCUGCUCCGCCGCCACGGCGCCGACCCGCAGAGGCUGGCCUCCGCGCUCUCCGCGUCGGGGCUCGACCCGUCCUCCCCGCGCCUCCUCGACGCCGUCCUCCGCCGCUGCGGCGCCGCCUCCUCCCUCGCGCUCGGCUACUUCCACUGGUGCUCCCCGUCGCUGCCCUCCGCGCCGCUCCCCUCCUCCCUCGCGCUCCUCGCCAAGUGCUUCUCCCGCGCCUCCGCCGCGCCCUGCCCCUCCCUCCUCGCGCCGCUCCCCUCCCACCUCCUCUCGGCCUCCAUCCUAUCGCCCGUCCUCCGCCGCCUCCCGCCGCCGCGCAUCCUCCCCUUCGCGCUCUCGCUCCUCUACUCCCGCCCCGCCCACGACCACCCCUCCCUCUUCCUCUCCCUCCUCGAGUCGCUCUCCAAGGCCGGCCACGUUGCCGCCGCCGAGCGGCUCGUCGAGGAGCUCCAGCCCCGGCUCCCGCUCGAGCUCCGCCACUACACUGCCCUGCUCUACGGCUGGUGCCGCCUGGGCAAGCUCGACGAGGCCAAGCACGUGCUCGCCCGCAUGAAGGCCGCCGGGGUCGCCCCGGACGUCGUCGUCUUCAACACCCUGCUCGCGGGAUUCGUCGCGGACGGCAGGUUCGAGGACGCGUUCGAGCUCACAAGGGAGAUGGAGCGGCGGGAUUGCCCUCCCAAUGCGGUGUCCUACACCACCCUCAUGCAGGGGCUUGGGUCCAAGGGGAGGGUCGAUGAGGUAAUGCGGGUGUUUGUUGAAAUGCGGAGGAAGGGAUGCACGCCGGAUUCUGUCACCUACGGCGCUCUGGUUAGUGCGUUUUGCAAGGCCGGCAGGUUAUCCCAGGGGUAUGAGUUCUUGGACUCCAUGUCGAGGGACGGGCUGCGGGUGGAUCCCGGAGUGUACCUUGGGUUCUUUGUGGCGCAUGAGAAGAAGGAGCAGCUGGAGGAGUGCUUGGAGCUGAUGGAGAGGAUGAGGGAGUGCAGGUGCCCCCCAGACCUCAGUAUCUACAAUGUGGUGAUUCGGUUGUCCUGUAAGCUCGGAGAGACGAAACAAGCCAUGGCAUUGUGGAACGAGAUGGAGAAUAGCGGGCUUAGUCCUGGGGUCGACACCUUCGCAAUCAUGGUGAAUGGGCUUGUUGGCCAGGGAUCGCUGGUCGACGCGUGCAAUUAUUUCAAGGACAUGGUCAGGAGGGGGCUAUUUGUUGCACCACAGUACGGAGUGCUGAAGGACCUCCUCAAUGCGUUAGUCAGAGAUGAGAAACUUGAGCUCGCAAAGGAUGUUUGGGGUUGCAUUGCCAGCAGAGGCUGUGAACUAAAUGUGAGUGCAUGGACAAUCUGGAUCCAUGCACUGUAUGCGAAGAAACAUGUCAAGGAGGCCUGCUCGUAUUGCUUGGACAUGCUCGAGGCUGGGCUGAUGCCGCAGCCAGACACGUUUGCAAAGCUAAUGAAGGGACUGAAAAAACUGUACAACAGACAGAUUGCUGCUGAAAUCACUGAGAAGGUGAGGUUGAUGGCGGAGGAGAGGCAUGUAAGCUUUAAAAUGUAUAAGAGGCGUGGGGUGAAGGAUCUCGAAGAGAAGCCUAAGUCAAAGAGAAGGAAAGGGCAAAAGCGGAGUCGGGGGAGGCAGACUGUUCAGGGUCAGUCUAGAGAACAUGCUGACCUUUCGGAUUCUGUCGAUGAUGAAGAAUUCCCGAGUUGA
Molecule: ribosomal RNA, 1797 nt
Filed under: Triticum aestivum (bread wheat)
Lineage: Eukaryota; Viridiplantae; Streptophyta; Magnoliopsida; Poales; Poaceae
Description: partial small subunit ribosomal RNA
Source: RNAcentral